CUCCCCGCGCUUCCCGAGCGUGGUGGGGCUCGUCCGGGGACCCGCCGCGGCCCAAGGGGCGCGGAACAGGCGCAUUGGCCUCUCGUGCAGCUGCGGGGAACUGAGGGACGGCGAAGAGUGUCCGAGAUCAGGGCGAGCGGAGCCGUGCGAGGAAGCGCGGCCAGAUGCAGGCCUUGGGGGGCUGUGGAACAGGGUCCUUGCGGCGGGAGGCGAAGUCAGAGGUGGGCAGUGCAGGGCUUCACGCCGUGUCUGCAGGACCCUUCCGCACUCGGGGCUGCCGGGCACGGGGAGGAGGCAGCUCCCCUGCUCAGGUCACAGCUACUGCCACUGCCACCGCCCUGCCAGCCUGCGCUGGGCGGAUCUGCACUUGCAGAACAUUUAACUGCUCUCCGCUUGCAACAUUUUACACGUUUUUGCAGUAAUCCAGAUAAACAAGAGCCUAUGAGGACUGCUUCUUCCUCCUCCCUCACAGAUUGAAGACUCCAAGGAAAAAAUCAUCCUGAUUAUUGGAGGAGUCAGAUAUGAGACAUACAGCAGCAUUCUUUGGACCUUCCCAGGGACCAAGCUGUGCAGUCUAACAGAGCCUCAUGCCCCAAGAAUCUACGACUAUGAUCCCACCGCCAAAGAGUUCUUUUUUGACAGGAGCGCUGAGAUAUUCAGCUCUGUGUUGAACUGUUAUAGGACCGAACAUUUCCACUGCCCCAUUGAUACCUGUAAGUCAGUCUUAGAAGAAGAGCUGAUUUUCUGGGAAAUAAAUGAGAUAUAGCUAGCACCCUGCUGCUGGCUGAAGCUGAAUAACAAAGAGGUGCAACCAGAGGAAUAUAACAUUUGUGAUGAAGAUGAACAAACUGACGACCAAUGCCUCAUAGUCCAGACAGAAAGAAGGGAUUUCAGCUGGUGAACCAGGUGGCAGCCAAAGAUUUGGUCUAUAUUUGAAAAAACUUUUUCUUCUUUCAGUGCUAAGGUAAUACUAUAAGUGCAGAUGGACACAACCUGUGUCCUUUGGGAUUACUGGAAUGGGUCCAUGAAAAAUGCUAAUGGGUUCAUAUCUUUGGUAGGUAUACUUUUAGUCCUGGAUUAAAAAAGAAAAAAUUUUCUUCUCACUAAUAGACACCUUAUUUUUCUCUCAUUCUCUUGUCCCUGUUCUCUACACAAAAUGCAUGCCCCAUACCUCUUUAAAAUGUCAGGCAUGCAGAACAAUAAACACAAAUCAGAGACUUGCAGAGGAUGUUUUCUGUGCUGCUGGUAUUUCUGGAGCCAACAUUUAAUGCUGAAGAGGCCCUCAGUGUGAGUCUGUCCACACUGCUCCAGCUGUUGGAGUAUUUCCUUACAAAUGCCAAUAUAAGAAUUCAGAUUUUUUUUAUUUGACUCCAAUCUUCUCUAUUAUUUUUCAAAUCUGGAAGGAGAAAAUACACUCCCAUGUGAACUGAACAAUGUUGAUUUGAGAAAGAUUAGUCUGGGAUUGUAUUGUGCCUGUGGAGGUGGUCCUGGGGUUGUGGUGGGGCAGUGAGGUUAUAUGAUACUUGUUUGUUGAUUUAUUUAUAUAUGUGCCUUUUCUUCCCUCUGAAGUGCUUGGCUUUUGUUUCUCUACUGUUCAUCGUUGGAAUUGUCAUCGUAUUCUGCGAGGAGACUAAGGCACAAUUUGAGUUCUUUACUCCUAGCUUGACCUCUGUUGAUGAUUCUGAGGUCUUCCACAAUGACCAGGAACCCUAUUACCAGCAGACUGCCUACUUGGUUCAUCUGGAGCUAAUUUAUGUCCUCUGGUUUACUUUUGAGUUUUCUGUGCAAUUUUGUUUCUGUCCAGACAAGAAGUCGUUCUUCCAAAAUCCCCUGAACAUGGUUGACUUCUUCUCCCUCUUCCCAGUAUAUAUGAAACUGUUUAUGACUGGGCAGAUUCAUAGAGCACCAAGCCCGGGGCUUUGGUUGGGUUUUGUUUGCAUUGUCUGUCUCAAACUCCUGAAGAUAUCCAAGCUGAUAGAAAUGCCACUGGUCCUCAGGGUUCUGUGCUACAUCCUCAGAGAGAUUUGCAUCCUGCUGAUGAUUUUGGCCUUUGAGACCCUCUUCUUUGCCUCUAUCUUCUUCUAUGGGGAGUUGCUAGGUAGCCAUCCUUCCUACACAGGGGAGCUGCACUUCACUGACAUUCAUGUUUGCUUGUGAUGGGCUUUAAUCACACUCACUACCGUGGGCUAUGGAGAUAUUAUCCCUCUCACCGCAGCUGGUCAAGUGACAGCAGCCUUAGCUGCAGUGUUCAGCAUGUUAACCAUUAUCAUCCCAAUACCCAUUUUCCUGGUAAAAUGUAAAAGCUAUUAUGGUGUUGCUAUCUUCAAACAGAAGCUGAAGAGAAGAAAGAAAUAUUAACAUUUCGGAACCUCUGUUUCCGUUUGCUUUUAGCAAUAAACCUUCAGCACGGUUUAUUUCCUUUGGUGGAAGGGGAGUGCAAAUAGUUCUUACUGCAUUUACUUGCCUUAGCAUAUUUCAAAUAAUUGGUGAGCUUGCAGUACUUGAUACACAACUGAUCAGAACUGUUGAAUCUCAUGGGUCUUUCCCAUACUGUACUUUUUAUGUGCCACGGUUUCUCUGUCCCCCCUAGCUAUUCAGAGACAAACUGCUUUACAGCCUAGAAUGUGCCCCACAGCACCCAGUUCUAUGAUCUGAGCUCACAGCAUAUUGCCUUAGCUGGCAAACAACUCAUGAUGUUAUCUCUGCCCUCCGUUGCCUGACAGACCAUAAUGUCAUUUUGCAUGCUGGGAAAGACGAUCUGUGCACGGUCCUGCUCUGACAGCAGUGAGGAGGCAUGGGUUCUGAUUGGCUAUUUUUAACAAUGUUCUGUUUCCUUGUUUUAUCUAAACAAGCCAGUACAUCUGAUAUGCCAGAAUCAGAUGUACAUGUAAAGAAGGCAGCAGGCUGAACUGAAUACCUGUAGGCCUAAAAGCCCACACUUUUGGAUAACCUGCCUUGAGGGCUCACAAGUAUUGCUGUGGCAUCUUGGUAGCAGCAAGGAGAGCCCUCUGACAGCAAAGCCCUUUUGUAUCUGCCAGAGUCAAUGGGAACCUCUCAUUGACCUCAGUGAGAUGAAAAUUUCAUCAGACACUUCCAUUGUAUCAACACAUUUCUGCAGUUUUUGAUUUUUAUGUAACAGUCACUGAGCUAUUAGCCAAAAUAUCUGUGUAUUUUUGCUGUUCAAAAAGAAGUACAUCAUCUACAGUACUCCAUAUAAUUUUAAUGUAAUUUACUUUCUUAAGGCAUAGAUAUAAACUAGGAAUAUUUAUCUUUUGACUGGAUAGGCUUGUUACGUAUGUUUAAUUUUGAAAUAACAAAAGUUUUUAAGGUAUAAGAAACCCCCACGUCCCAUUGUUUAUAUAGCAGAGUGAUGUGCUAAGAUUAUUUUUUUCAGUAAGUAAAAAAAUCUGUAUGCAAUAACAGUUAUAUAUUUAAAUUUCAUCAAGGUUGUUUAAUUGCAAUUUUGAUUAAAUUUUGUCGCUAUGAUUUUUCUGUUCAGGAUAUCAUUUUAAGGCUACUUUAUUUGUAUUGAAACACGAGGUAACUUCCCUCUGUUCUAAUGCAAUUACAGUAUGUUUUUGUCUAAAGUGAAAUUUAAAAACGCUGCAAACACAACACAAAGCACAUGAGAAGCUGGAGAGACAAUGUCAGUUGAUAAUAUGCUUUUAUUUUGAAUCAGAAUAAAAAGUCAGAAGGUGGA
Manacus vitellinus (golden-collared manakin) is the source of this 3700-nucleotide long non-coding RNA. RefSeq lists it as uncharacterized. The transcript has 2 exons. The record is from RefSeq and is a predicted model, not a curated record. NCBI's taxonomy places the organism in Eukaryota, Metazoa, Chordata, Aves, Passeriformes, Pipridae.